GGGUAAGUGGCACAGUGGUAGCGCGCACGCUUCGCAUCUGGCAUUGCGUGAGGUCUAGGGUUCAAUCCCCUACUUAUCCA
This 80-nucleotide transfer RNA is filed under the name Serendipita indica DSM 11827. Its description in RNAcentral is "Piriformospora indica DSM 11827 tRNA". It matches the Rfam family "tRNA". From Rfam's summary of the family: Transfer RNA (tRNA) molecules are approximately 80 nucleotides in length. Their secondary structure includes four short double-helical elements and three loops (D, anti-codon, and T loops). Lineage: Eukaryota; Fungi; Basidiomycota; Agaricomycetes; Sebacinales; Serendipitaceae. The record is from Rfam by way of RNAcentral.